RNAcentral lists this long non-coding RNA (226 nucleotides) under Vigna radiata. Its description in RNAcentral is "long non-coding RNA (VRAD_LNC013657)". The record is from RNAcentral. Lineage: Eukaryota; Viridiplantae; Streptophyta; Magnoliopsida; Fabales; Fabaceae.
UGAAUCUUCCUUUGUCUUUUGAUUUCAUGGACCUGUUGAGCCUUUUUAUCAUGAGUCUCAUAUUUUCUUCAUCUUCUGAGUCUUCAUCUUCCAUUUUGUUCUUGCUCUUUUCUACCUCAGAUUUUAAGGCUAGACUCUUUUUCUUGGUUUUGGCUUUUGCUUCUUCUUCAUCAAGUCUUCCAAGAUCAAGCUCAUGCUCCCUCAACUUUCUGAAUAGUGCCGCCAU